AAUUGUUUUGGCAAUACAAAUAUUAAACUGGAGCAAUAAAGAGAAAAUUGACAUGGCUCCUACACACAAAUGAUAGGCAAACUUGUAAAGCAUUCCUUAUGCUU
Molecule: small nuclear RNA, 104 nt
Organism: Sorex araneus (European shrew)
Lineage: Eukaryota; Metazoa; Chordata; Mammalia; Eulipotyphla; Soricidae
Source: Ensembl